RNAcentral lists this ribosomal RNA (386 nucleotides) under uncultured bacterium. RNAcentral describes it as "bacterial SSU rRNA". It matches the Rfam family "Bacterial small subunit ribosomal RNA", at positions 28 to 415 of the family's 1533-position model. The record is from RNAcentral.
GACGAACGCUGGCGGCGUGCUUAACACAUGCAAGUCGAGCGGUAAGGCCCUUUCGGGGGUACACGAGCGGCGAACGGGUGAGUAACACGUGGGUGACCUGCCCUCAGCUCUGGGAUAAGCCUGGGAAACUGGGUCUAAUACUGGAUAUGACUCCACGGUGCAUGUCGUGGGGUGAAAGUCUUGUGCGGCUGAGGAUGGGCCCGCGGCCUAUCAGCUUGUUGGUGGGGUGAGGCCUACCAAGGCGACGACGGGUAGCCGGCCUGAGAGGGCGACCGGGCCACACUGGGACUGAGACACGGCCCAGACUCCUACGGGAGGCAGCAGUGGGGAAUCUUGCGCAAUGGGCGAAAGCCCUGACGCAGCGACGCCGCGUGAGGGAUGACGGG